RNAcentral lists this long non-coding RNA (1150 nucleotides) under Cucumis sativus (cucumber). RNAcentral describes it as "long non-coding RNA (CSAT_LNC002288)". Lineage: Eukaryota; Viridiplantae; Streptophyta; Magnoliopsida; Cucurbitales; Cucurbitaceae. The record is from RNAcentral.
CAUAACCAAGAAUAAAACUACUUAUGCACGCCGAGAGAAUCUGUAAAGGGGAAUGAGUGGAUGCAAGAUGGAAUUGCGGACUAAUUUGUAUGCGAGAAAAAAGUGAAAGAAGGUCUACACAUUAUUAAGCGACCAACAUCUCUCAAAGUGUUUAAACGCCACACUUGCUCACCUUUCGGGAUGCAAAUAAUUGUGCUUGAUUAGGUGAGAUAUAUCCAAGAGAACUCACUUAUAAUACUUAUCAGAUUUCUAAUAUCCAUACUUGUUCGUCUUUCAAGAUACAAAUGUUGGAAGUUAACUCGCUAAGGUGGAGUUUGUUGUCAAAUUCCUUUGUGUGCGCAUUACCCUUAUCCUUGCUACUUGCCCUCUCGGGUAGUUGGCGAUUGACAUUGGUCAAACGAUGAAUGCGUUAAGAAUUGUAAGUUAGAUUCCUUGUUAAGAAUUUAUCACAAACCUAUACUGAUAACACAUUAACAAGUGGGAAGUCAAUAAAUGAUGGAUUGAAAAUGUAUAAACAUGUAAAAUAUAUACAAGGAUGUAGGCCUUAGGCUAUUGUACCCUAUGAACAACAUAGGUUACAAAGAAAUGCAUAAAAUAGAGAAAAAUGAGAAUGAAAAAAUAUUACAAGUUAGGGGACAAUGAAAGUAUAGAUUCUUCCUUUCUUAGGAGCCAAGCUCUCACUUUUACAACUGAUCAGAGAAGAAGAAGAGAACGUUAUAUCUCACUUUUACGAUCAGAGAAGAAGAAGAAGAAGAGAACGUUAUAGAUGGCGGAAAAGCUAUUCCUUUUCGCAACGUUAUAAAUGGCGGAAAAGCUAUUCCUUUUCGCAACGUUAUAGAUGGCGGAAAAGCUAUUCCUUUUCGCCACUCUCUCUAGGGAUUGACCUUUUUAGGCCUUUGUCCCAUACACAUAUCCAGACUAGUCCUUUAUGACCUUAAAUCCUAUUUGUGCUACUUAGUUUCAUUAAACUAAACUAAGACAUAAUUCUAAUCCUAUUAGAAUUAAUGUGAUCUUAAAUCUAUUUAAUUUUAAACAAUUUAAAAUUAAAUCAAAUUAAUCCUAAAAUUGUAAGUUUGCAUGCAACUCCUUGUUAUAGAUUGAGGGUUUCUAAUUAUCAAAAUUUAUAACUAUUAUAAAAUUAAUUAAUUAA